This 5883-nucleotide unclassified non-coding RNA is filed under the name Pomacea canaliculata. RNAcentral's name for it is "mucin-5AC-like, transcript variant X1". Lineage: Eukaryota; Metazoa; Mollusca; Gastropoda; Architaenioglossa; Ampullariidae. The record is from RNAcentral.
UCCCCCUCAGCCAAGACGAGUGGUUGGUGAAGGCGGUUGUCAGCCAAUCAUGGCCGCGGAAAUAAGGCGACUGGCGGCGCGGCGGGCGAGAUGGCUGUGUUUACAGGCGUGACGAAGUUACCAGGUGGGAGGCAGGUGAGGAUGAGGCCAGAAGGUAAAGACGCGCCUCUCAGAUUCUGGCAUCACUCGGCAAGACGUCACCGCACGCUCAGCUCACACGAGGGCUCGCGCUGGACAGGGAGCGACUAAAGGUGAUUGUACAGGUGUCUAACGUCACAACCUCACCUCCCCUCCUCCACCUGUGUCCAGGUGCUUGGUGCACACUCAGCAUCGGGACUUGCUUGUCGGGUGCGCAGGGUAGUCGACCGCCCGCUCUCAGGCGUGGGUGAUGCUGAGUCACAACCUUACGAGGCGCAUUUCGUCACAGACACCCGGGUACGGAUCUCCUCGUGCAGGUAUACUUCAGGUCAACAUCCAGUAACAGUGGUUGCACCCACUGACUUCUCAUCUCAUAAGGCGAGGUGACCUCGAAGGGUGCGUACAAACUACCAUAUUAGCGAUUACUUACCUGAUCUCCGUGGGGAGAAAAAAUUUUCGAUCGAGUAGAUUGGAAGUAAAGCAGGUCUGAGGCAGAAGAUAGAGGUGAGAAUCACUCAACCAACAUACCUCGACAAGUCAAUCAUCUUUUAGCAGAAACUUACCUAAAGCAUCUUUGAACUGAAACUUGCGUCGCGUUUGUGUUAACCUCUGACCCUUGGUCAACCAACAUCUACAUUCGUGUGUAAGACUACACACGGUUAUCAUCAGAGAGAGGCUUCAGUCGACAUUGAAGACUUCGUUGUCGGCAGAAAUGAAGAGUUUAAUCAUCAUCGCAAGUUUCGCUGUGGCGCUGGCUGGGACUCUGGACAUUGUGGCUCCAAGGAUGAUGGAAGCCUGCGUGCUGGACGUGGCCCUGCUGGAGGUGGAGGCCCCCCACUACACGCUGGACGACCUUUGUGUUGCAGGAAACAACAAAGUCACCGUCAUCAUACGCUGUGCCUCCGGGUCAAGGUAUGCCAGCCAAGCUUCCCUCAGUCCAUGUCUACAGCAGCCCAUAGUAACACUACAGUACGACACUAAGGGAGCUGAGGCAACCAACAUCACGCUGCUGCUGUGGCUGAACCUGGGUCACGAUGUCCUAGACUCGGCAAGUUUCAUAUUCUCUCCUGUUGGAGACAGUAUAUUUUCGGCUAAUCACGUUCUUGGAGACCUUCAGAAAACAAGAUUCCAUUUAGCAGUUGCCAAGCGGUGCUUUGGAGACGUGGAAACCGAACGGGCGUCCAUGGACGAAGCGGCUGAUGCUGGUGGUUCUCAGCCCUUUCCGAAUAGCGCCUUCUCUAGUCUUAAUCACCUGACUGCCAGACACAGAAGAGACACGGACGCCACCCUCAGGCCCUUGAAGACUGGCGCCCAGGCUAGCCUCACUCUCGACGUCUCGCCAGCCAUCUUGACUCGGGACUCCAGCCCGGGGGUGGAGACGGUCUUUAUCGGCGAGAGCUUUGCGCGAGACGACAAUUUUCCUGUUGUCACCAACAGCCUGGACAGUUACUUCAGCGAGUUUUAUAGCAAGAGGACAAAAGUUGAACCGCUUCCUGCGUCUCCUGAUGAAACCGCUUUGCUAGGCAACAGCGUCCCUGGCAACGAUUUGUACCUCUUCGGUGAGGCAGUCAGCGAUGAUAACAGCACGCUCCUCACCUUUACUAGCACUCAAACCACUAGCCAACCUCUUCAAGUGACUGCGCCAAGAGUGACAUCCGCUUCUAUAGUCACCUCAGAGCUUCCAGAAAAUUCUCUUGGCCACACGUCAGGGGCAACAGGCAGCACGCUCAGUUUGAACUCCUCCUCACAAGCGCCGUUGAAUUUCGAGCCAAAGGAAACAAGAUCCAUUUUUGUUGGUUCCUUGACAGACGAUACGAUUAGUUUGUCCACGGGUGAAUUAGAAACGUCUGAUUCAACCUACCAAUCAACUACGACAGCUGGACCAUACACACAACCGAAGGACUUCACUUCUGUCUCUUUUUUCGAGGAGACAAUCAUGUUUGGGAACAAUGCAGGGAGAAGCUUGUUCUUAGAAACGAAAGAUGAUGUGACAUCACCUGAAGCAAAGAACACAGCUGCAGAUGUGACACGUGUGCCAAGUGACGGCACCACAAUGCCCCACACGUCCGUUGCGGGAGACUACUCACAGCAAGAUUUAAAAGAAUCAGCAAUAACUUCUACUCUGAUGUCGAGAGCCAGCCUGACCUCGACUGUGGCCAUAUUGUCCUCCACUAGUGAUGCUGGUACAGUCCUGAAUCCUCUGGAAAACACAGACACAACAGCUUCUCCUCUGGAGUUUGUGUCAGAGGGAGUAAAUCCUUUGGGUCGAAGUACGGAUACACAAACUGGCUCAGAUUCACAUAUGGUCUCCGAGUCCCAAUUGGACACAUCUGCCCAAACGAUUUCCGAUUCUCUAACGGCUAGUACAGAAAGCACUUUAGGUCAGGGGCCAUCUGACUUGCCCGACACAAGUGCCAGUGUCGUGGUACCUGUGGCCAGUCUUAGUCCGCUUGACGUUUCUGUCUCCGUGCACCGCCCGGAAAGCACAGUAUCAUCUCAACAUUUGUCUCCUCCUACAUCACCCCCUCAAACGUCGCACACGCCACCGACUGACUCAUCGCCACUGACUACUCCGAGUACGCCAACAUCACGUGCCACAGACUCGCCGACGGAAGCCACGUCACUCACUACCUCGAGUGCGUCACAUUCGCCGGAACAAUCUACGUCACCCAUCACCACGAGUACCUCAACUCAGCAGCAGACACAUCCUACGGUUCCCACUGCGUCAGUUCAACCGCAAGCGUUCUCCACGAUUCCAACCCCGCCGAGUCAACAGCAAACAUUUCAAGUGUCCUCCUCCAUUGCGCCGUCAUCACCAGGCACUCCUGUUCCAUCUCCCACGUUGCCUGAGCAAGACACGUCGUCGACGUCCUCCACAGCAUCGUCAGAUCACCAACCAGAUGUCCCGGUUACUCCUCUCUUCCCUGAUGCUCAAACCAGCUCCUUGCCUUCCGACCUGACCACCAACAUCACCUUGGAAACAGGUUCCCGAGGCAACAGCAGCAGCUGGGAAGGUCCCAUAAAUAACUCGGAUCGCGGCGAUGACGCCUUCUGGCCUAUUGUCGCUGCCCUCGUCAUCGGCAUCCCAACUGUCAUCGUCUUCGGCAUCGCCAUAGUCGUCAUAUACAAGCGGAGACUGGCUUCCCCGGCACGGCUAAGGGCCGCCAGCAUGUACCCCUCCCUGUAGGACAGCACAAGCCGUUUGUUACUAACCUGCUUCCCGAUAGACAAGAACAAGAAAAAUCGACCAGAGACGAGCACUGAACUUCGGCGGAUCUCAUCGGCCAUCGAUCGAUGUUUGACAUCUGAACUUCAAAAGCACUGUAGAUGAACAUCGGUCGUUUUCGACCUAUUGUGUGCUUUUUUCAGCUUCGACCUGCCAGUCAGGACAUGUGAUAGAAGGGUCUGGAUGUGUGGACUGCGAUGCCAGAAGGUGUGCUCAUUGUGUAUGGACUGCAUCAUCGGGGUUUUGACAGACAUUUACAAAAUAAUUGUGAUUUAUAAUGCUCUCCCAUGUACAUACACGUGUUUAGUUUGAUCGCAGUUUGCCUCACUGUCGCUCGUGUGUGACAGAAUAUUGCAAACGGUACUGUCGUGGGCCUCUGUACAGAAGUGUGUGCGCGCAUCCAUGAGUGAACUGACAACACGUGAGUGUGCGUGCACGUUUGUAUGUGUGCGUGUGGGUGGGUGGAUGUGUGAGAGAGAGAGAGAAAGAGAAAGAAAGAAAGAUAAUUUUAAAUAUCUUUAUGCAUAUGGAGGGGUGUGUGUGUGUGUGAAAGAUAGUUUGUAUACCUCCGUGCUUGUGCACUUGUCAUAUGGGUAGUUGGACGGGUUCGGGUGAGUGAAGAUGUAUGAGCGAGUAGAUUGGUGUCGUGUUGGGUGAGAGUGGCAUUUUAGUGAGCAUAUUUUUGUAUUGUUUUCAAACUGCAUUUCUGAUUUCUUUCGCCUUUUGGGUUAUUUUUAUACUUAAGCUUCCCCUGUACAAAAUAAUUCCUUUUUCGUAAACAAUUGUAGUUGAGACAAAUGCUCAUAAAUUACUGUACAGAUAUUUUAGAACAGGUUGCAAAAGUCUGGAUUUUUUCCAUCGAUGGUUACUUGUGCGACCAUCUAGGAAAAGAUGUUUCCUAAAUUAUUGAACUUUCAGUUUUUACACGCAUUCACAGAACGCAUACCGCAACUCGCAUACAGACGCUCUCGCACACAAAAAUUAAAGGCGUGGACGACCAAGUGCUCUGAGUUCUUAAUGUUCUGAUGUUGAAAACCGCAGUCGUACAAAAUGUUAUGACCACGAUUACACUGUAUUAACGCCUCUCAUAGUGUGUUUUCAGUCUACGGAUGUAUCAAGGCAUUACUGUUACACACUGCAAUAUUAUUCUCAAACACAGACCAGUAAAGGGGUGGAAUGCUUACUGUACUUACUGAGGCUUGUUCUGGGCCAAUGCAGUGCCAUCUUCUCAACCAUUUCUAUCCGUUGAUUCAUUCCAUCUCCACCCACUGAUCCAUUCUCUCCACCCGUUUCUUCCUGCUCUAACUGUAGAACAUCAAAAUUUGAUUCACAUUUUCAUCGACACCUGUUUCUUGUGAGCAUAGUGCCUACAUAAAAGUAAAAUUUCUAGGUAAUCCAUCCUUGAAAAUAAUUUUCUUUUUUUUUUUUCUUUUCAAAAUCACGAUGUGUACCUUAACAUAGUCUCGUCGUGACAAAGACUUAAUGAUCUUUUGAAUGAAAAGUGUUUAAGUCGUUGCUGUAUGAUUUAUACCUAUUACAUUGACACUGUAUUACAUGAUUUAUGCCUAUUACACUGGCACUGUAUUAAUUAAUACAUGUUAACAUACCAAGUUCUCCCCUCAUCAAUGCGGGACGUUAGCAGUUGUUUUGACUGUGACGCUGUCACCUGAAGACCGAAAGACACAAGCGUGAUGCUGGACUGUCUCAUUAUCCUGAUCGUCAUUAACAGAGUCAUCGUGGCUAAGCAUGCGCAUCUUCCCAAUCGUCGAUAUCAUCCUACAUCUCAAUAUCCUGUUUGACAUCUUCCAAGUUCAACACUAGUAUUAUCAUUUUCUACACAAAAAUUUCAUCGUCACCCAUUCCAUCAAAGAAUAGAAAGACAUUAAUGAAAAGAGAGAAUGCGGCUUAUAAUAAUAAAGAGCAAUGGGUGUAUGUUGCUUUUCUUUUGAUUCUCUUGUCAACAAAGAUUUUGGUGAGUUUUCUUCACGCACAUCUAUGCGUGUGGAUCUAAGCAUGUAUAAAUAUAAAUAUGAGGAACACGUACAGGAAGAAUUCCGGUGAUCGAGAACUAGCAUUAUCAAGAUACAAAACAGUAUGCAUCAAACGUGCGGUAUAAUAUUUAUAGAGAAAACAUCCACUUUGUUCUGUACAUCACAAAUCUGAUUUUAAAUUGGAAUUUUUGUGCGCGGGUUGAAGGGGAGGCGGCAGAGUGGGUGUAUUUGUGCGUCUGUAUGUGCGUGUGUAAGAAAUUCAACAGUAUAAUUACCUUUCAUAUUAUUUGUUAUUCUUAAAGUGCUCACUGCAUUCAGUUCCUGUCUUUUUGUAAAAUCAUGUGGUCACAGCAUUAUCUUUAAACUGUGUAUGAGUUCAUCGUUUCAAGUCGUUUUACAAAACUUUUUAUUUAAACUGUGCUCUUGGAAAGUUUAGAGAUCAGUUCACUCCAAAAAUAAAAAAAAACUAGUCAUUAUACUUGUGUCAUUCAUGUACUUGAACUGAAAUAAAUAAAACAAGAAAAUAAU